This 587-nucleotide long non-coding RNA is filed under the name Brassica napus (rape). RNAcentral's name for it is "long non-coding RNA (BNAP_LNC026283)". Lineage: Eukaryota; Viridiplantae; Streptophyta; Magnoliopsida; Brassicales; Brassicaceae. The record is from RNAcentral.
AAAACUAAACUAGACUUUAACCUAAUUACUAACUAAACACACCACCACUUCGUUGUCUUCUUCAUCUACCGGCCGCACCACCACCUUCGUCUUCGUGUUUUUCCAGCCAUGAUUCUUCUUCUUCAUCCUGGGAUUUGAGAUGCAAGUUGCAGAGAGGAGGCAAACGUCACAUCCAUCUAGACCUAAUCUCGUCGCCUCCUCACCAACUCGCCAUCAGCUUCCUCUUCCUGAAUCUGAAGCCGUCAUCUUCCUCCUCUAGCCGCCAUACCUGCCUUGCCUUGCUUCCUCCAUCCCUAAAAAAAAUAAUACAGUUCAAAACAGAGAGAGAGAGAGAGAGAGAGAGAGAGAGAGAGAGAGAGAUGAGUUCUAACCGUGGUUGUGUGGUGGUGGUGAUGCUUGGACGGCGAACGAACGGUCGUGUGGUGGUGGUUGUGAUGCUGGGACGGCGAAAACAAACGGGUGGUUGUGGUGGUGGUGAUUGAGGAAGAUAGAGAUCCAAAGAAUUAAAAAAGAUAUGAGAUCAUAUUUAGAUCUGUAACAAAAAAAGAGAGAGAGAGAGAUAACGUGAGACAAGAAGAAAGAGAUUG